Molecule: long non-coding RNA, 768 nt
Organism: Panicum hallii
Lineage: Eukaryota; Viridiplantae; Streptophyta; Magnoliopsida; Poales; Poaceae
Exons: 2
Source: RefSeq, a predicted model, not a curated record
UUCCCCUUCCAUCCAGAAGACAUGCUUGACCACAUGCUCAUCUCCUACCUCUAACUAACCGUGUCAGAUAAGGACGAGGACGAAGCAUAACGAUGAAGCAGCUCCUACAUCUAGCACUGCUAGCUCGUGCAUCUCUAUAGCCACCGCCGCGCCACGCUAGGCCAUGCGCCGUGGAGCUGCUGACUGUUGUUGCCGCCCAGCAAUAGGACCUGAUUGGUUGCCGCCAGCGAGCGACGCACCCGUUCUGUUGCAGUGGAGCACAGCAUGUUGGCCUGUAGUCCGGGAGUGAUGGACUUCUACACGUCGUAGUCUGUGUCCAUGGCCCCCUGCGAGGGGCCUGCAGCCUGCUGGAGUGCAAGGUUGGUGGCGGCGCGGUGACACCGAUGGAGGAGAGGCAGAGCAUGAAUUCUCUCUCACGCAUCUAGCUAGCAUUCUCAUCUCAGUUGCCAGUGAGGCAAAGAAGUACAAGUCUGGCAAAAGGAUGUCUAAACUAGAAGUCUAGAUAAGAUAUUUCUUUUCCUGGGUUUUCCCCUUUUUCUGAUGGUUACCACCCCCUUGUUUUCCCUUCAUCCAUACUCUAGGCUACAGUAGCAAUCUGGAAUAGAUCGAGAUUCUGAAAAUCAUGAGAAACUUUUACUUCUUAUUCUUCUCUUUUUUUGUCUCCUAUUCAAAAGUCUAGGAAUAGGUCUAGCUCAUGUAUAGGAUUAAAUAACAAGCAAAUGUGUGAAAAUGUUUUACUAAAGUAAUAGGUUGUUUUUUGUCCGAUUA